CCUACGGGAGGCAGCAGUGAGGAAUAUUGGUCAAUGGACGAGAGUCUGAACCAGCCAAGUAGCGUGAAGGAUGACUGCCCUAUGGGUUGUAAACUUCUUUUAUAUGGGAAUAAAACGUUCCACGUGUGGGAUUUUGUAUGUACCAUAUGAAUAAGGAUCGGCUAACUCCGGGCCAGCAGCCGCGGUAAUACGGAGGAUCCGAGCGUUAUCCGGAUUUAUUGGGUUUAAAGGGAGCGUAGGUGGAUUGUUAAGUCAGUUGUGAAAGUUUGCGGCUCAACCGUAAAAUUGCAGUUGAAACUGGCAGUCUUGAGUACAGUAGAGGUGGGCGGAAUUCGUGGUGUAGCGGUGAAAUGCUUAGAUAUCACGAAGAACUUCGAUUGCGAAGGCAGUUCACUGGACUGCAACUGACACUGAGGCUCGAAAGUGUGGGUAUCAAACAGGAUUAGAUACCCCUGUAGUC
This 460-nucleotide ribosomal RNA is filed under the name uncultured bacterium. RNAcentral's name for it is "partial 16S ribosomal RNA". It matches the Rfam family "Bacterial small subunit ribosomal RNA", at positions 338 to 795 of the family's 1533-position model. The record is from RNAcentral.